GACGAACGCUGGCGGCGUGCCUAAUACAUGCAAGUAGAACGCUGAAGAGAGGAGCUUGCUCUUCUUGGAUGAGUUGCGAACGGGUGAGUAACGCGUAGGUAACCUGCCUGGUAGCGGGGGAUAACUAUUGGAAACGAUAGCUAAUACCGCAUAAAAUGGAUUAUCGCAUGAUAAUCCAUUGAAAGGUGCAAAUGCAUCACUACCAGAUGGACCUGCGUUGUAUUAGCUAGUUGGUGGGGUAACGGCUCACCAAGGCGACGAUACAUAGCCGACCUGAGAGGGUGAUCGGCCACACUGGGACUGAGACACGGCCCAGACUCCUACGGGAGGCAGCAGUAGGGAAUCUUCGGCAAUGGACGGAAGUCUGACCGAGCAACGCCGCGUGAGUGAAGAAGGUUUUCGGAUCGUAAAGCUCUGUUGUAAGAGAAGAACGAGUGUGAGAGUGGAAAGUUCACACUGUGACGGUAUCUUACCAGAAAGGGACGGCUAACUACGUGCCAGCAGCCGCGGUAAUACGUAGGUCCCGAGCGUUGUCCGGAUUUAUUGGGCGUAAAGCGAGCGCAGGCGGUUAGAUAAGUCUGAAGUUAAAGGCUGUGGCUUAACCAUAGUACGCUUUGGAAACUGUUUAACUUGAGUGCAAGAGGGGAGAGUGGAAUUCCAUGUGUAGCGGUGAAAUGCGUAGAUAUAUGGAGGAACACCGGUGGCGAAAGCGGCUCUCUGGCUUGUAACUGACGCUGAGGCUCGAAAGCGUGGGUAGCAAACAGG
This 765-nucleotide ribosomal RNA is filed under the name uncultured Streptococcus sp. RNAcentral's name for it is "bacterial SSU rRNA". It matches the Rfam family "Bacterial small subunit ribosomal RNA", at positions 28 to 776 of the family's 1533-position model. The record is from RNAcentral. Lineage: Bacteria; Bacillati; Bacillota; Bacilli; Lactobacillales; Streptococcaceae.